Long non-coding RNA from Lotus japonicus, 2047 nucleotides. RefSeq lists it as uncharacterized. The record is from RefSeq and is a predicted model, not a curated record. Lineage: Eukaryota; Viridiplantae; Streptophyta; Magnoliopsida; Fabales; Fabaceae. The transcript is spliced from 2 exons.
ACUAGUAUUUAUUUAUAUGACUUGUAGUCAGUUUUAAAUGCUCUCUUCUUCUACUUGUUGCUGCGAAGGCUUUCUCUCUCUUUCUCUCUCAACUCCCUCUUCUCUCCCAAAUUUCAGCCCUCUUCUUCCUUUGUUAGAUAUGUCUCAACCAACCCUCACUCUCACUGUCCUUAGGAUCCAUAGCUCCACGAUUAUCCGAAGACCAUGAAUGUGUGGUGAUAUUUUCUCCUUUAGAUCAAUUGAUACUUCAUUUAUCAUUUGAUCUAGAUGCAAAAAUGUCAUCAGUAGAUUCAUAUAUACAUGAGUUGGGCACAAUUUGCAACCUUGCCUUUUUCCUUUUCCUCUUUCUCUUCAAGUCUACAUAAGGUUUUUUCAAUCGAAGAAUAAUGCCUUUUUUUCUAAGGCAGUAUCAAUUAAUAUUUUUUUAUUGUUAAUUUUUAAAGGUAUACAUAAGUUUAAUAUUUUUUUUAUUUGAUGAACUAUGAUAAGAGAUUUAUUUCUGAUAUGUUUAUAUUUUUUCCAAUUAUAUUUAGUUAGAAUCUAACAAAUUAUUAAAAUAAAUAUUAUCCCAGAUUUUAUAUUUUUUUCCGAAAUAACCCAACGGCUAUUUUUCCGAAUUUUUAUGCGGAUAAAAAGGUUGAAGAAACUGAGUUGAAGCUCCAAAGAUUGCAGAAGAUUUUCCCCUGUUCAAAGCUCCGAUUUUUCUCUGUUCAAAGGUUCGAUUGAGGUAACUUGUUCUCUCUUCACAACCUAUUUUCGUGUAUUGAUCUCUCUUUGUCAAGUUCAGAUUUUUUAUUCUCUGUAUGAAAUUAGGGUUUAAUGUUUGUUCAAUUUAUCAAUUUCGAUCAUUUCCAAGCUUCUUCUUUUCCCCUUUUCUCUUUUCAUAAUCUAUUUCUUCUUUGUGAAAGUUUGGAUUUUUGUUCCUGGUUUGAAAUUAGGGUUUAUGUUUCAAUUUUUAUCCUAUUUCUUAAUUUGAACAUACUGAACAAAAUAUAUGAGUUUUGAUCAUGAGUUUCCUUUUUAAUUUGCCCCUCUUCUCUCUCUCUCUCCCUCACGCGUUCACUCACUCAUGCUCUCCCUCAACCUCUCGACUCUUUCUCUCUUCCUCUCCAAGACCCAUUUUCUUCUUCUUCUUCUGAUUAUUUUCCCUAAGUUUGCAGCACUACCAACACCUUCUUCUCCUCCUGAUGACAACCACCACCGCCUGGUCACUCUCCUUCCAGAGGCUACACCAUCACCACCGUUCCUGUCCUGAUCUUUCUCUUCUUCUCCUUCCAUGUGCAAACCACCCUGGCAUCACCCAAGCUAGCCACCACCGCCAGCAGCCACGAUGACGCCGCCACCUCCUUCAGUCCCGCGAGCAUCAUCAUCACCAACAUGAUGAGAAACAACAGAGAAAUAGAGGAGAAACCAAACCCUAAUUUCAGCCACCUUCAAAUCCCGAUCUCCAGCAAACCGCUUAGCUGUUGGAGAAACCACCACCACCACCGUACUCCUCUCACUGUCCGCAACAAAACCCCCCAAGAAAUUUGUCGUUCCGCCGCCCUCCACCGCCAGCCGCCGCCAACCACCGUCUUCUCCGGCUAGAACCUGCGUUGGAUAGCUCUUUCUCUUCUCUGUUCGAAUUGAUGAUCAAUUCAUGUGUUGUUCACCAUUGAUGGUCAUCAGAGGAAGACAAAGCUGCGGUUAGAGAAAAUCCACGUCAAUUAAUGAAAGGGCCUCCGUUUGGUCAACUAACGGAGCUUAACAGAAGGGGCUGGAUCGCACGUUUUUGAAACGUUGGGGUGCCUGACCGCUACGUUUAAACACGGGGGGCCCGAUAGCUCAUUUCUGAAACAUCAGGGGCCCAAAGUGGAAUUAAGCCUACAUUUUAUUAGUAUUUGUUCUUUCUUGUGCAUUCACUUCCUGAUUUCUGACAGUUCAAAACUCUUCAGUUGUGGCUGACCCUGGGACAAUUUACCUGAAAAUCCUCUCUUCCUUUGUAAAAUAUUAUUGUUGUGUGUUACGAGCAUAUUCGUUUUAUAAUUUACCUUUUGUAUUUUUUGCC